Molecule: long non-coding RNA, 2760 nt
Organism: Pteropus alecto (black flying fox)
Lineage: Eukaryota; Metazoa; Chordata; Mammalia; Chiroptera; Pteropodidae
Exons: 2
Source: RefSeq, a predicted model, not a curated record
GUCUCAGAAGCUGGUCGCCUCCCCCACGCAGCCUCACCCCACAUCCUGACGCCUGCGUUCGCUUUCACGCCUCUUCUGUUGACGCGCUAGAAGCGAAGCGUGGCCAGUGGGAAGGUCCCGGCAAAACCCACCAACUCAGAAAGCCCUCUCCUGUCCAUUGACUUGUAUUGGCAAUUGACCUGUAACCGCCCAUGGGGCAGUCUUCUGACUGUUGUAGCCGCCAGCCCCAGGAAGACACAGGACCACCAGAAAUCAGCUGUACUGGUACACCUCUUCUCAUCCAGUUCCAUUCCUAAUGAGAUGCACCUUACAGGUUUAAUUUAUCACUCAAUGGCCCCACCUCCAAAACUCAAUCCAGUGCUCACUUGGGCAGCACAUAUACUAAAAUUGGAACAAUACAGAGAUUAGCAUGGCCCCUGUGCAAGGAUGACCUGCAAAUUUGUGACGCAUUCAUUCCAUAUUUUUGAGUUGCUAUAAAGUAAAUAACUUGGGCAUUCUUGAUACUUGAAUAUGGAGUAAGUGAACAAGGAAAGGAAAUAACAAUGCGCUUUAUAAGAACUGUAUGGUAAAGUGGAAAAUGCAGUGUCUUAAAUAAAACUAAAAUCGCCAUAAAAAAAAAAAAAACCUCAAUCCAGAUCAAGGAUGAAAAGUUGAUCUAGAUGAUAACUGACAAGUCUAGUGAUUUAAACAUCCAAGUAUUUCUUCUCUCUCUACUCAGCUGGUGUCUACUAAACUGCCCAACCUACAGAUGUUGAAGUGUCUCAGGGCUUAGUCCAUGAGUCUCUUCUAUAAUUACACUCAUUCUUGGAGAUUUCAUCCAAGCUCAUAGUUUUAAAUAUCAUCUAUGUAGUGAUGACUCCCAGUCUCCAGCCCUUCCCACUGACUACCCAACUCUUUUUAUGUUUCUAACAUCUCCACCUGUAUAUCUAAUUGGUAUCUAUUUAUCCUAUCUAAAACUUAAUCCUCAUCUUUCUUUGCAAACAUGCUACUCCUACAGCCUUCUCUUAUUUCAUUAAAUAGCAACACCGUCCUCUGUCUACAAACCUUGAUUAAUUUCCUGGUCUCCCUGCUCUCUCAUGCCCCCUACUGUCUAUUCUUAACAUGGCAGCUAAAGCAAUCCUUUAAAACCGACAACAAAUCUUGUUACUUCUUAUCCCCAAACCCUUCAAUGGCUUCACAUAUCACUUAGAGAAAUUCUUAUAACAGUCUAUUGGUUUCCUAUUAUAUCUCUGGCCUCAACUCCUAGGACUCCCUUCAGUCACACUAGCUUCUUUAUUCCUCAUAAAUACCAGUCAUGCUCUCCUCCAGGCUUUUGCACAUCCUGUUCUUCCUGCUUGUACUACUUCUCUCUUAGGUGUUCCUCAUUCUCUCCCUUCCUUCAGGUAGUUACAUAGAUAUCACCUUUCCAAGGAGGCCUUCCCUGGCUAUAAUAUUUAAAAUUACCACCCAUUCCAACCUCAUCUCUACCAAAACUCACUCUCUCAUUUCUCUAUUUUAAUUUAAAUUUAUUUCCACAGCAUUUAUUGGCAUUACGCGCACACACACACACACACACACGACUUAUUUCAUAUAUAAAAUGUUUUCCUUAUCAGUUUCUCCCCACUAGAAUGUAAACUCUAUGAAGUUAGGGAUUAUCCGUUUUGUUCAUUAGAUAUGUCAUUUUCCACCAUAUAGAUGAUAAAUGAUGCAGAACUACUUAAAAAUCAGUCUUUUUUAUCUCUCAUUUUUAGGAUAACUACUAGCUAGAGGCUAAAGAAGUGUAGAAAAAACAAUCCCCUUUCUCAAAGAAUGUAUUACUUAAUGGGAUGAAUGUGAACUUAAUGGUAAAAUAAAUAUAAUACAUAAAUAAAACUUGGGGAUACAGAGGAAAGGCAGACCAUAUUUGUUAGUGGUUAUCAGGAAGAGAGGGAACUGAACUGUCUUAUGACAUGGCUAAGCAUGUGCCAAAGCAAACACACAAAGACACAUUAAAAAAUUGAACAUAUUCAAAGAACAAAGAGUAGUCCAGUUUGUCUCUCUUAAGAUCCUUGAGCCCUUCCUCGUGACUCCUCAACACUUGUAUGGCAGGUCACUGAUGAAUAACAUUAGAGAAGGAGAGCAAAGUUAUACCAUGAACAGUUUUAAUCUUGGUCUAAAGAGUUUAGACAAUAAAGUGGAUAAUAAAAAACUGGUGACAGCUAUGUUUUAGAAAAUUAAUCUGAGAGAUUAAUAGGAUGAUUGGGAAGGCAAACACUGAUAGAUCUGACAACAAGGAAGACAGUUAUGAAGUUUUAUCAACAAUCCAGAGGGCUGGUGCAAAUAUGAAAACAUUGUGAUCAGAGAGAAAUAGAGGAGAAAGCAUCUUCUAGGCUUCCUAAGGUAUGAUAUGUGGAGGGCAAGACAUAGGAAAAGUCAAAGUUGCUGCACAGUUUUUUGCUAGGAUGAUUAAGAAACUUGAUAGUAGCAUUAACAGAAUAGGGAAGACAGAAAGAGGAACUGGUUUAAGGUACAGAAAAGGGUUAGUGAUGUUGGCACAAACUGUAAAGAUGAUGAAAACAUACAAAAGCACCAAAGGACAAAGGUUUGGUAAAUAUAUUUUUUUAAACAUAGACAAUAUUUGAAUACCAUAUCAAUCAUAUAUAACAAUAACUACCUAAAAAGCUUUCUUUGAAAGCUUUCCCCAACCCACACAUAUUCUGACAUUUUAUGAAACAGGGAGGAAUUGGCGUGCCAUUUUAAUAAACAUCAUUGACCCUAUUAAAAGAAGAAGAUACAAAGAAA